GCCGGGUGGACGGACUGACGAGGGGUCUGGUUAUGAUUGUGAUAUUACAGUUGUUUCUGCCUAUGUACGUUCUACGCGAAUGCAUGCCUACCCAUCAAGCUGCGCAACGUGGAGCUAAUCAAACGGGCCAACCCACUGUGCGAAUAUUAAUUAAACUCUCCGUUACGCCUGAAUAGCGUGCACAGAGGGCAAGAGAAGAAGAAAGAGGGCAAAGGUUAGUUUCCGCUAACUAUCUAGUGGAAGGUGUAUCCUGCCGAUUUCAGCGACUUUUGGGAAUGCUUUUAAGAUUUUUCAAUUAAAUCUUACUAUUUUCUUCACACGUGUCACCGCUAUUUGGCUUUUAUUAUCGACAU
This is a long non-coding RNA of Eufriesea mexicana, 353 nucleotides long. RefSeq lists it as uncharacterized. NCBI's taxonomy places the organism in Eukaryota, Metazoa, Arthropoda, Insecta, Hymenoptera, Apidae. The transcript has 3 exons. The record is from RefSeq and is a predicted model, not a curated record.